Molecule: ribosomal RNA, 253 nt
Filed under: uncultured bacterium
Lineage: Bacteria
Description: partial 16S ribosomal RNA
Rfam family: Bacterial small subunit ribosomal RNA
Source: RNAcentral
UACGUAGGGUGCAAGCGUUGUCCGGAAUUACUGGGCGUAAAGCGUGCGCAGGCGGUUCUAUAAGACAGAUGUGAAAUCCCCGGGCUCAACCUGGGAACUGCAUUUGUGACUGUAGAGCUGGAGUGCGGCAGAGGGGGAUGGAAUUCCGCGUGUAGCAGUGAAAUGCGUAGAUAUGCGGAGGAACACCGAUGGCGAAGGCAAUCCCCUGGGCCUGCACUGACGCUCAUGCACGAAAGCGUGGGGAGCAAACAGG